AGGACGAACGCUGGCGGCGUGCUUAACACAUGCAAGUCGAACGAGGUCCAGCCGGUGGCAACACCAGCGAAGACCGAGUGGCGAACGGGUGAGUAACACGUGAGCAACUUACCCCGAAGACCGGGAUAACACCGGGAAACCAGUGCUAAUACCGGAUGCCCCCAUUGGGUCGCAUGGCCUGAUGAGGAAAUGGGUUUCCGCUUCGGGAGGGGCUCGCGGCCUAUCAGCUGGUUGGUGAGGUAACGGCUUACCAAGGCAACGACGGGUAGCUGGUCUGAGAGGACGAUCAGCCACACUGGGACUGAGACACGGCCCAGACUCCUACGGGAGGCAGC
RNAcentral lists this ribosomal RNA (335 nucleotides) under uncultured prokaryote. RNAcentral's name for it is "bacterial SSU rRNA". It matches the Rfam family "Bacterial small subunit ribosomal RNA", at positions 26 to 352 of the family's 1533-position model. The record is from RNAcentral.